UUAUAAAGGGCCGCGGUAUUACUGACUGUGCAAAGGUAGCAUAAUCAUUAGGUUUUUAAUUAGGAUCUUGUAUGAAUGGUUGGACGAGAGAAAGACUGUCUUUGUAUUUAUAAUUUGAAUUUAACUUUUAAGUGAGAAGGCUUAAAUAAACUAAGGGGACGAUAAGACCCUAUAAAACUUUACAUAGAAGUUAUAUUUAAUUUAAUUUUUUUUAUAAAAAUUUAAUUUAGUUAUUGUUUUAUUGGGGAGAUAAGAGUAUAAAUUUAUAUUAACUGCUAAGGAUUUAAACAACUAUUGGUGAAUAAAUUAUAGAUCCAUUAUUAUGAUUUAAAGAGUAAGUUACUUUAGGGAUAACAGCGUUAUUUUUUUUGAGAGUUCAUAUCGAAAAAGAAGUUUGCGACCUCGAUGUUGAAUUAAAUUAUCUAUAUAAUGUAGAUGUUAUAUGAGAAGGKCUGUUCGACCUUUAAAAAUUUACAUGAUUUGAGUUCAGACCGGCGUGAGCCAGGUUGGUUUCUAUCUCUUAGAGAAA
RNAcentral lists this ribosomal RNA (529 nucleotides) under Potamonemus man. Its description in RNAcentral is "partial large subunit ribosomal RNA". It matches the Rfam family "Archaeal large subunit ribosomal RNA", at positions 2001 to 2727 of the family's 2987-position model. Lineage: Eukaryota; Metazoa; Arthropoda; Malacostraca; Decapoda; Potamonautidae. The record is from RNAcentral.